Molecule: ribosomal RNA, 547 nt
Filed under: Colletotrichum gloeosporioides
Lineage: Eukaryota; Fungi; Ascomycota; Sordariomycetes; Glomerellales; Glomerellaceae
Description: eukaryotic LSU rRNA
Rfam family: 5.8S ribosomal RNA (bases 174-327)
Source: RNAcentral
UUUGCCCUGCUACGCUCUACACCCUUUGUGACAUACCUACAACUGUUGCUUCGGCGGGUAGGGUCUCCGCGACCCUCCCGGCCUCCCGCCUCCGGGCGGGUCGGCGCCCGCCGGAGGAUAACCAAACUCUGAUUCAACGACGUUUCUUCUGAGUGGUACAAGCAAAUAAUCAAAACUUUUAACAACGGAUCUCUUGGUUCUGGCAUCGAUGAAGAACGCAGCGAAAUGCGAUAAGUAAUGUGAAUUGCAGAAUUCAGUGAAUCAUCGAAUCUUUGAACGCACAUUGCGCCCGCCAGCAUUCUGGCGGGCAUGCCUGUUCGAGCGUCAUUUCAACCCUCAAGCUCUGCUUGGUGUUGGGGCCCUACAGCCGAUGUAGGCCCUCAAAGGUAGUGGCGGACCCUCCCGGAGCCUCCUUUGCGUAGUAACUUUACGUCUCGCACUGGGAUCCGGAGGGACUCUUGCCGUAAAACCCCCCAAUUUUCCAAAGGUUGACCUCGGAUCAGGUAGGAAUACCCGCUGAACUUAAGCAUAUCAAUAAGCGGAGGAA